AUUGAACGCUGGCGGCAUGCCUUACACAUGCAAGUCGAACGGCAGCACGGGAGCAAUCCUGGUGGCGAGUGGCGAACGGGUGAGUAAUAUAUCGGAACGUGCCCAGUCGUGGGGGAUAACGCAGCGAAAGCUGUGCUAAUACCGCAUACGAUCUAAGGAUGAAAGCGGGGGAUCGCAAGACCUCGCCCGAUUGGAGCGGCCGAUAUCAGAUUAGCUAGUUGGUGGGGUAAAGGCCCACCAAGGCGACGAUCUGUAGCUGGUCUGAGAGGACGACCAGCCACACUGGAACUGAGACACGGUCCAGACUCCUACGGGAGGCAGCAGUGGGGAAUUUUGGACAAUGGGCGCAAGCCUGAUCCAGCAAUGCCGCGUGCAGGAUGCAGGCCUUCGGGUUGUAAACUGCUUUUGUACGGAACGAAACGGCCCUUUCUAAUACAGGGGGCUAAUGACGGUACCGUAAGAAUAAGCACCGGCUAACUACGUGCCAGCAGCCGCAGUAA
This 500-nucleotide ribosomal RNA is filed under the name uncultured bacterium. RNAcentral describes it as "partial 16S ribosomal RNA". It matches the Rfam family "Bacterial small subunit ribosomal RNA", at positions 30 to 523 of the family's 1533-position model. The record is from RNAcentral.